AGUGAACGCUGGCGGUAGGCCUAACACAUGCAAGUCGAACGGCAGCACAGUAAGAGCUUGCUCUUACGGGUGGCGAGUGGCGGACGGGUGAGGAAUACAUCGGAAUCUACUUUUUCGUGGGGGAUAACGUAGGGAAACUUACGCUAAUACCGCAUACGACCUACGGGUGAAAUCAGGAGAUCUUCGGACCUUGCGCGAUUGAAUGAGCCGAUGUCGGAUUAGCUAGUUGGCGGGGUAAAGGCCCAUCAAGGCGACGAUCCGUAGCUGGUCUGAGAGGAUGAUCAGCCACACUGGAACUGAGACACGGUCCAGACUCCUACGGGAGGCAGCAGUGGGGAAUAUUGGACAAUGGGCGAAAGCCUGAUCCAGCCAUACCGCGUGGGUGAAGAAGGCCUUCGGGUUGUAAAGCCCUUUUGUUGGGAAAGAAAAGCAGCAGGUUAAUACCUCGCUGUUCUGACGGUACCCAAAGAAUAAGCACCGGCUAACUUCGUG
This 492-nucleotide ribosomal RNA is filed under the name uncultured bacterium. RNAcentral describes it as "partial 16S ribosomal RNA". It matches the Rfam family "Bacterial small subunit ribosomal RNA", at positions 29 to 507 of the family's 1533-position model. The record is from RNAcentral.